GGAUAAAAGCAACUGGGAGUGGGACAGUUGUCCCUCACUUUGUGAUGCUGUCCUGGAACCCCAUCACCAAGGGAACAAAGCAGACAUGGGAUGGUGCUCUCCCUACAGGCUUUCUCUUCUCCCAUGCUUCUUGGGUACCUGAGCAUUCAGGAGCACUGCUCGUCUACCAAGAUUUUCAGGAGAUCAUAAAUCAGAGUAAAUCAGCUGUGGGAGUCUCAUGUCUUUGGUUUGGAAUCUGUCAAGGAAACUCAUGCAAUUGGUACAUUUAACCUCAGAUCAGAUCAACACAGAAACAGAAGAAAGCUUUGAUGACAGCAAAGUGUAUGCUGAGAAGAAGGAGAAUGUGAAUUAUUCAGCCAUCUCCACAGGAUAUUUUCCAUAUUACAGAUCAAAUGAGGAGCAGUUUGUCCAGCCUCUCUUAUAUGGCUUAAAUGCAGAGGGAGAUAAGCCUGACAACAACUGGAAAGAUGAAGGAGAAGGUGGAUGUGCAGAGCUUGGUGGAGAUGUUGAGAAGACCACCCACCCAACUCUGGGGACAGAGAGGAGGCCAUGUUCUUCCAUGACCAAUGUAGAGCCAACAUCCCAGCAGCUCCUAGGAGGCAGCAACUUGGGAAGCUGCCUGUCAACCUUCUCCCUGUCCAGCACACCGCCAGGCCUGGACCAGCCCUUUUCUUCCAGUGGAUAUUUCCCUUACUACAGAACAGAAGCAGAGCUCUGCAUCGGCCCAGCAAUGUGUGACAAGUUUCUCACCAGGACAGAAGUUUCGGAGAAUGAAGAGGGAAGACAGGUGGAAGAAAAAAACACUUGGAAUUUUGGUGCCAGAUGCCUGGUGUCCUGAGAACAAAGCAGCAAGUUUGUCAGCAAAAGACAGAGGCUGAUUUAACACAGACGUGAAUUAGAAGUUCUUGAAAGCUAUAGCCACAUGAACAUCUGUAUGAAUAUGGAAUAAAAUAUACACCUCCCUUUGAAUUAAACGGUAA
This 980-nucleotide long non-coding RNA is filed under the name Numida meleagris (helmeted guineafowl). Its description in RNAcentral is "lncRNA (ENSNMEG00000020395.1)". Lineage: Eukaryota; Metazoa; Chordata; Aves; Galliformes; Numididae. The record is from RNAcentral.